UGAAUGUAAUACGACUCACUAUAGGGCGAAUUGGGCCCGACGUCGCAUGCUCCCGGCCGCCAUGGCGGCCGCGGGAAUUCGAUUAGAGUUUGAUCAUGGCUCAGAUUGAACGCUGGCGGAAUGCUUUACACAUGCAAGUCGAACGGCAGCACGGGAGCUUGCUCCUGGUGGCGAGUGGCGAACGGGUGAGUAAUACAUAGGAACAUACCCAGUAAUGGGGGAUAACGCCGAGAAAUCGGUGCUAAUACCGCAUACGCCCUGAGGGGGAAAGCGGGGGAUCUUCGGACCUCGCGUUACUGGAUUGGCCUAUGUCUGAUUAGCUAGUUGGUGAGGUAAAGGCUCACCAAGGCGACGAUCAGUAGCUGGUCUGAGAGGAUGAUCAGCCMCACUGGAACUGAGACACGGUCCAGACUCCUACGGGAGGCAGCAGUGGGGAAUUUUGGACAAUGGGSGAAASCCUGAUCCAGCCAUUCCGCGKGAGUGAAGAAGSCCUUCGGGUUGUAAAGCUCUUUCGSCAGGAACGAAAUGGUUGCGGUUAAUAAC
RNAcentral lists this ribosomal RNA (543 nucleotides) under uncultured beta proteobacterium. RNAcentral describes it as "bacterial SSU rRNA". Lineage: Bacteria; Pseudomonadati; Pseudomonadota; Betaproteobacteria. The record is from RNAcentral.